This 209-nucleotide long non-coding RNA is filed under the name Solanum tuberosum (potato). Its description in RNAcentral is "long non-coding RNA (STUB_LNC011899)". Lineage: Eukaryota; Viridiplantae; Streptophyta; Magnoliopsida; Solanales; Solanaceae. The record is from RNAcentral.
AUACAUUUGUUGGAUAUUUUAUAAACUAGAUCAUUCAAAAACAUUGAACUGUGAUUAUCCAAUUGUAUAUAAACACUUCUAAAUCAUCAGUCACAGUAGCGGAGCCAUGAAUUUCACAAAAGGUGUCCAGAAAUAGAAAGUGGAAAAAAGAUUUGCGAGCAUUGCCUCAUUCCAAGCGUCCGAAACCACUAGGCUAUAACAACUUGUUC